RNAcentral lists this ribosomal RNA (933 nucleotides) under uncultured bacterium. Its description in RNAcentral is "partial 16S ribosomal RNA". It matches the Rfam family "Bacterial small subunit ribosomal RNA", at positions 8 to 916 of the family's 1533-position model. The record is from RNAcentral.
AGAGUUUGAUCCUGGCUCAGAAUCAACGCUGGCGGCGUGCCUAACACAUGCAAGUCGAACGCGAAAGGGGGCUUCGGCCCCCGAGUAGAGUGGCGGACGGGUGAGUAACACGUGGGCAAUCUGCCUUCGGGUGGGGAAUAACACCCCGAAAGGGGUGCUAAUACCGCAUAAAGCGAGUCGGUCGCAUGGCCGAGUCGUUAAAGUGGGGGAUCUUCGGACCUCACGCCUGGAGAGGAGCCCGCGCCCGAUUAGCUAGUUGGUGAGGUAACGGCUCACCAAGGCGACGAUCGGUAGCCGGCCUGAGAGGGCGGCCGGCCACACUGGCACUGAGAUACGGGCCAGACUCCUACGGGAGGCAGCAGUGGGGAAUUUUGGGCAAUGGGCGAAAGCCUGACCCAGCAACGCCGCGUGAAGGACGAAAUCCCUUCGGGAUGUAAACUUCAAAAGUUGGGGAAGAAAUGCCGGGGGCCAAUACCCUCCGGAGAUGACGGUACCCAACGUAAGCCCCGGCUAACUACGUGCCAGCAGCCGCGGUAAUACGUAGGGGGCAAGCGUUGUUCGGAAUUACUGGGCGUAAAGGGCGCGUAGGCGGCACGGCAAGUCAGGAGUGAAAGCCCGGGGCUCAACCCCGGAACUGCUUUUGAAACUGCCGAGCUAGAGUGCGGAAGGGGCAACCGGAAUUCCCAGUGUAGCGGUGAAAUGCGUAGAUAUUGGGAAGAACACCUGAGGCGAAGGCGGGUUGCUGGGCCGACACUGACGCUGAGGCGCGAAAGCCAGGGGAGCGAACGGGAUUAGAUACCCCGGUAGUCCUGGCCCUAAACGAUGGAUACUUGGUGUGUGGGGUUUUCUCAGUCCCCGCGUGCCGGAGCUAACGCGGUAAGUAUCCCGCCUGGGGAGUACGGUCGCAAGGCUGAAACUCAAAUGAAUUGACGG